Molecule: long non-coding RNA, 620 nt
Filed under: Drosophila guanche
Lineage: Eukaryota; Metazoa; Arthropoda; Insecta; Diptera; Drosophilidae
Source: RNAcentral
GCUUUUUGUUGUCUAUCCUGGCAAGUGCGGGGGGGGUGGGAACGUGAACAGCUACACUGCAUAGAUAUAUGUACAUAUAUGUAUAUGUUUAUGUAGAUAUGUAUGUAAACUCAAUAAAAACUUUUAAUGUUUGUUGUUUGUCUCUCAAUUUUGUUUGGCGCACGCAUCACGCAUACGCCCCGCUUCUUCUUUAAUGAGUUGGCCAGGCUUUAGUGGCGGAGAAAAGCAUUUUGGCCCUAAUUAAUGUCAACAGCGUCAGAUGUGUGGCAUUGCCCAAUGCGUGUGGUGCUGGCCGUAUCUUCCUCUGUGUGUGGAUGAUCAUUUUGGCAACAUGUUUAUCCGGCCGAAUGCCCAUAUAUUAAUGCCCACACGCACACACACACACACACACACAUUCCGUUGGAUUGUCACAUUAAUUAUGUACGUUAAGCUGUCAACGUGGCCAAUAUUUUCGUAGCCUCUAUGUCUAUGUCCUGCUGCUUGUGUGUUUUCCUCCUCAAAUUGUUUGCCAUUUUUCUUGCCAUCGAUAAGAGCGUUCGUCUUGGCUUAUCGCUCGCUUGUCUCUUGCUAUUUGGCAUCAUAUAGGGGGGAUGCCUGCUGACAAGCAAAUCGAUUUGGCA